UAUUUAGCUUCGUAGUGACCUGCGGAGGAUCAUUACCGAGUGAGGGCCCUUUGGGUCCAACCUCCCACCCGUGUUUAUUUACCUCGUUGCUUCGGCGGGCCCGCCUUAACUGGCCGCCGGGGGGCUCACGCCCCCGGGCCCGCGCCCGCCGAAGACACCCCCGAACUCUGCCUGAAGAUUGUCGUCUGAGUGAAAAUAUAAAUUAUUUAAAACUUUCAACAACGGAUCUCUUGGUUCCGGCAUCGAUGAAGAACGCAGCGAAAUGCGAUACGUAAUGUGAAUUGCAAAUUCAGUGAAUCAUCGAGUCUUUGAACGCACAUUGCGCCCCCUGGUAUUCCGGGGGGCAUGCCUGUCCGAGCGUCAUUGCUGCCCUCAAGCCCGGCUUGUGUGUUGGGCCCCGUCCUCCGAUUCCGGGGGACGGGCCCGAAAGGCAGCGGCGGCACCGCGUCCGGUCCUCGAGCGUAUGGGGCUUUGUCACCCGCUCUGUAGGCCCGGCCGGCGCUUGCCGAUCAACCCAAAUUUUUAUCCAGGUUGACCUCGGAUCAGGUAGGGAUACCCGCUGAACUUAAGCAUAUCAAAGGCCGGGAGGAAA
Molecule: ribosomal RNA, 592 nt
Filed under: Penicillium expansum
Lineage: Eukaryota; Fungi; Ascomycota; Eurotiomycetes; Eurotiales; Aspergillaceae
Description: eukaryotic LSU rRNA
Rfam family: 5.8S ribosomal RNA (bases 211-363)
Source: RNAcentral